UACAUGCAAGUCGAACGCACAGCGAAAGGUGCUUGCACCUUCAAGUGAGUGGCGAACGGGUGAGUAACACGUGGACAACCUGCCUCAAGGCUGGGGAUAACAUUUGGAAACAGAUGCUAAUACCGAAUAAAACUUAGUGUCGCAUGACACAAAGUUAAAAGGCGCUUCGGCGUCACCUAGAGAUGGAUCCGCGGUGCAUUAGUUAGUUGGUGGGGUAAAGGCCUACCAAGACAAUGAUGCAUAGCCGAGUUGAGAGACUGAUCGGCCACAUUGGGACUGAGACACGGCCCAAACUCCUACGGGAGGCUGCAGUAGGGAAUCUUCCACAAUGGGCGAAAGCCUGAUGGAGCAACGCCGCGUGUGUGAUGAAGGCUUUCGGGUCGUAAGCACUGUUGUAUGGGAAGAACAGCUAGAAUAGGAAAUGAUUUUAGUUUGACGGUACCAUACCAGAAAGGGACGGCUAAAUACGUG
RNAcentral lists this ribosomal RNA (471 nucleotides) under uncultured bacterium. Its description in RNAcentral is "bacterial SSU rRNA". It matches the Rfam family "Bacterial small subunit ribosomal RNA", at positions 52 to 507 of the family's 1533-position model. The record is from RNAcentral.